Perognathus longimembris pacificus (Pacific pocket mouse) is the source of this 161-nucleotide long non-coding RNA. RefSeq lists it as uncharacterized. The record is from RefSeq and is a predicted model, not a curated record. Lineage: Eukaryota; Metazoa; Chordata; Mammalia; Rodentia; Heteromyidae. The transcript has 3 exons.
CAGUUAGUGCUCUAGCUAAUUACAAAUCAGGAAUGUCAAAAUUCAGCAAGUCUAUUAUAUGUGAAUGGUUCUGUAAAAAUAAGUUACUAAAAAGUAUUAGCAACAAUUAGGUGUGAGUGUGUGGGUGUUUGUGUGUAAGGCUUGUCUUUCCCUAACACACG